UGCAGUCGAACGGCAGCACGGGGGCAACCCUGGUGGCGAGUGGCGAACGGGUGAGUAAUAUAUCGGAACGUACCCGGAAAUGGGGGAUAACGUAGCGAAAGUUACGCUAAUACCGCAUAUGCCCUGAGGGGGAAAGCGGGGGAUUCGCAAGAACCUCGCGUUUUCGGAGCGGCCGAUAUCGGAUUAGCUAGUAGGUGAGGUAAAGGCUCACCUAGGCGACGAUCCGUAGCUGGUCUGAGAGGACGACCAGCCACACUGGAACUGAGACACGGUCCAGACUCCUACGGGAGGCAGCAGUGGGGAAUUUUGGACAAUGGGCGCAAGCCUGAUCCAGCCAUGCCGCGUGAGUGAAGAAGGCCUUCGGGUUGUAAAGCUCUUUCAGCCGGAAAGAAAACGCACGGGUUAAUAACCUGUGUGGAUGACGGUACCGGAAGAAGAAGCACCGGCUAACUACGUGCCAGCAGCCGCGGUAAUACGUAGGGUGCGAGCGUUAAUCGGAAUUACUGGGCGUAAAGCGUGCGCAGGCGGUUUUGUAAGACAGAUGUGAAAUCCCCGGGCUUAACCUGGGAACUGCAUUUGUGACUGCAAGGCUAGAGUACGGCAGAGGGGGGUAGAAUUCCACGUGUAGCAGUGAAAUGCGUAGAUAUGUGGAGGAAUACCGAUGGCGAAGGCAGCCCCCUGGGUCGAUACUGACGCUCAUGCACGAAAGCGUGGGGAGCAAACAGGAUUAGAUACCCUGGUAGUCCACGCCCUAAACGAUGUCAACUAGGUGUUGGGGGAGGAGACUUCCUUAGUACCGCAGCUAACGCGUGAAGUUGACCGCCUGGGGAGUACGGUCGCAAGAUUAAAACUCAAAGGAAUUGACGGGGACCCGCACAAGCGGUGGA
This 887-nucleotide ribosomal RNA is filed under the name uncultured organism. RNAcentral describes it as "bacterial SSU rRNA". It matches the Rfam family "Bacterial small subunit ribosomal RNA", at positions 56 to 936 of the family's 1533-position model. The record is from RNAcentral.